Molecule: long non-coding RNA, 380 nt
Organism: Mustela erminea (ermine)
Lineage: Eukaryota; Metazoa; Chordata; Mammalia; Carnivora; Mustelidae
Exons: 2
Source: RefSeq, a predicted model, not a curated record
UCUCUUCGGCAGGAGGAAGGCAAGAGGCUCCUGGACGAGGCCGAUGUUCACAUGCCCAAGGUUUCCGUACUUGGAGAGCUGAGUGGGUGGAAUGCCUGACCCACAGGUCUGUGCUAUCUGAGCUGGUGGAAAAAGGACUUGGAGACAGCGAUUUAAAUAAGGAACAAGGUCUUCCAGGAAGACAGUGCAGAACUGGACAAAGAGCUCUUGCUCCCCACUGCUGAAAGCAGCCUCUUCUGCGCGAUGGAAGGCCAGGAUUGUUUUGGUUACCUAGGAGACAGGGGCACCAUCAGUCACUAGACUAUCACCAUCAGUGGUACCUGAAACUAAGCACAAAUAUGCAGCCCUCAAGUUUUCAUAAAGAAAGUCAUUCCAAACAG